Molecule: ribosomal RNA, 1491 nt
Filed under: metagenome
Description: bacterial SSU rRNA
Rfam family: Bacterial small subunit ribosomal RNA
Source: RNAcentral
AGAGUUUGAUCCUGGCUCAGAUUGAACGCUGGCGGCAUGCCUUACACAUGCAAGUCGAACGGCAGCACGAGAGCUUGCUCUUGGUGGCGAGUGGCGAACGGGUGAGUAAUAUAUCGGAACGUACCCUAGAGUGGGGGAUAACGUAGCGAAAGUUACGCUAAUACCGCAUACGAUCUACGGAUGAAAGUGGGGGAUCGCAAGACCUCAUGCUCAUGGAGCGGCCGAUAUCUGAUUAGCUAGUUGGUGGGGUAAAAGCUCACCAAGGCGACGAUCAGUAGCUGGUCUGAGAGGACGACCAGCCACACUGGAACUGAGACACGGUCCAGACUCCUACGGGAGGCAGCAGUGGGGAAUUUUGGACAAUGGGCGCAAGCCUGAUCCAGCAAUGCCGCGUGAGUGAAGAAGGCCUUCGGGUUGUAAAGCUCUUUUGUCAGGGAAGAAACGGUGGACUCUAAUACAGAUCACUAAUGACGGUACCUGAAGAAUAAGCACCGGCUAACUACGUGCCAGCAGCCGCGGUAAUACGUAGGGUGCAAGCGUUAAUCGGAAUUACUGGGCGUAAAGCGUGCGCAGGCGGUUGUGCAAGACAGAUGUGAAAUCCCCGGGCUCAACCUGGGAAUUGCAUUUGUGACUGCACGGCUAGAGUGUGUCAGAGGGGGGUAGAAUUCCACGUGUAGCAGUGAAAUGCGUAGAGAUGUGGAGGAAUACCGAUGGCGAAGGCAGCCCCCUGGGAUAACACUGACGCUCAUGCACAAAAGCGUGGGGAGCAAACAGGAUUAGAUACACUGGUAGUCCACGCCCUAAACGAUGUCUACUAGUUGUCGGGUCUUAAUUGACUUGGUAACGCAGCUAACGCGUGAAGUAGACCGCCUGGGGAGUACGGUCGCAAGAUUAAAACUCAAAGGAAUUGACGGGGACCCGCACAAGCGGUGGAUGAUGUGGAUUAAUUCGAUGCAACGCGAAAAACCUUACCUACCCUUGACAUGUCUGGAAUCCUUGAGAGAUCAGGGAGUGCUCGAAAGAGAAUCAGAACACAGGUGCUGCAUGGCUGUCGUCAGCUCGUGUCGUGAGAUGUUGGGUUAAGUCCCGCAACGAGCGCAACCCUUGUCAUUAGUUGCUACGAAAGGGCACUCUAAUGAGACUGCCGGUGACAAACCGGAGGAAGGUGGGGAUGACGUCAAGUCCUCAUGGCCCUUAUGGGUAGGGCUUCACACGUCAUACAAUGGUACAUACAGAGGGCCGCCAACCCGCGAGGGGGAGCUAAUCCCAGAAAGUGUAUCGUAGUCCGGAUUGUAGUCUGCAACUCGACUACAUGAAGUUGGAAUCGCUAGUAAUCGCGGAUCAGCAUGUCGCGGUGAAUACGUUCCCGGGUCUUGUACACACCGCCCGUCACACCAUGGGAGCGGGUUUCACCAGAAGUGGGUAGCCUAACCGCAAGGAGGGCGCUCACCACGGUGGAAUUCGUGACUGGGGUGAAGUCGUAACAAGGUA